UGCUCUCUGCAUUGCCUACCAACUGUUUGCUAUUUUGCCCCACACACAAAACAACCACAAAAGUAGUACUUUUUUUGUUUUUUAAAUCUAAUGCAAGUUAAACCAAAAGCAAGGCUCCCAGACAACAUGAAACUCACACUCAGAAACAAAACUACCAAUAAAAUACAAGAUCUACGACUUCAAUGUCUUCUAUUUAUAAAUCGGAGAUAAAUCUCUCAAAAAUUGAUUCUCAACAACAUCAUCAUCGCGUGGACCUUCUUUAUUUCCAGAUUUGGGGUUUUAAUUUGGUUCGAUUUCCGGAUCUUGGAAUUUUGGGGUUUUCUAAUUUUGUGCUAAUUUUGAGUUGUUUUUAUGGGUUUGUAGUUGUUGUUGAGAAAGAAAUGGUUGGUUGUUGGUGUGGGUG
RNAcentral lists this long non-coding RNA (403 nucleotides) under Trifolium pratense (red clover). Its description in RNAcentral is "long non-coding RNA (TPRA_LNC007670)". The record is from RNAcentral. Lineage: Eukaryota; Viridiplantae; Streptophyta; Magnoliopsida; Fabales; Fabaceae.